This 420-nucleotide ribosomal RNA is filed under the name uncultured bacterium. RNAcentral describes it as "bacterial SSU rRNA". It matches the Rfam family "Bacterial small subunit ribosomal RNA", at positions 356 to 773 of the family's 1533-position model. The record is from RNAcentral.
GAGGAAUAUUGGUCAAUGGCCGGAAGGCUGAACCAGCCAUCCCGCGUGCAGGAUGACGGCCCUAUGGGUUGUAAACUGCUUUUGUACCUGAAGAAACCUGGUUACGUGUAACCAGUUGCCGGUAAGGUAUGAAUAAGCAUCGGCUAACUCCGUGCCAGCAGCCGCGGUAAUACGGAGGAUGCAAGCGUUAUCCGGAUUCAUUGGGUUUAAAGGGUGCGCAGGUGGGAAAAUAAGUCAGUGGUGAAAUACUGCCGCUUAACGGUAGAAUUGCCAUUGAUACUGUUUUUCUUGAGUAUGGUUGAGGUAGGUGGAAUGUGUUGUGUAGCGGUGAAAUGCAUAGAUAUGACACAGAACGCCGAUUGCGAAGGCAGCUUACUAAGCCAUUACUGACACUGAGGCACGAAAGCGUGGGGAUCGAAC